UACGGAGGAUCCGAGCGUUAUCCGGAUUUAUUGGGUUUAAAGGGAGCGUAGGUGUAUUGUUAAGUCAGUUGUGAAAGUUUGCGGCUCAACCGUAAAAUUGCAGUUGAAACUGGCAGUCUUGAGUACAGUAGAGGUGGGCGGAAUUCGUGGUGUAGCGGUGAAAUGCUUAGAUAUCACGAAGAACUCCGAUUGCGAAGGCAGCUCACUAGACUGCAACUGACACUGAUGCUCGAAAGUGUGGGUAUCAAACAGG
This 253-nucleotide ribosomal RNA is filed under the name uncultured bacterium. RNAcentral's name for it is "partial 16S ribosomal RNA". It matches the Rfam family "Bacterial small subunit ribosomal RNA", at positions 524 to 776 of the family's 1533-position model. The record is from RNAcentral.